This 253-nucleotide ribosomal RNA is filed under the name uncultured bacterium. Its description in RNAcentral is "partial 16S ribosomal RNA". It matches the Rfam family "Bacterial small subunit ribosomal RNA", at positions 524 to 776 of the family's 1533-position model. The record is from RNAcentral.
UACGAACCGUGCGAGCGUUGCUCGGAUUCACUGGGCUUAAAGGGCGCGUAGGCGGCCCUCAUAGUCAGGGGUGAAAUCCCACGGCUCAACCGUGGAAGUGCCUCUGAUACUGGGGGCCUCGAGGGAGGUAGGGGCGUGCGGAACUUCCGGUGGAGCGGUGAAAUGCGUAGAUAUCGGAAGGAACACCGGUGGCGAAAGCGGCGCGCUGGACCUCUUCUGAUGCUGAGGCGCGAAAGCCAGGGGAGCAAACGGG